Molecule: ribosomal RNA, 560 nt
Filed under: Cryptosporidium parvum
Lineage: Eukaryota; Apicomplexa; Conoidasida; Eucoccidiorida; Cryptosporidiidae
Description: partial small subunit ribosomal RNA
Rfam family: Eukaryotic small subunit ribosomal RNA
Source: RNAcentral
AGACGGUAGGGUAUUGGCCUACCUUGGGCAUGAGGGGUAACGGGGAAUUACGGUUCGAUUCCGGAGAGGGAGCCUGAGAAACGGCUACCCCAUCUAAGGAAGGCAGCAGGCGCGCAAAUUACCCAAUCCUAAUACAGGGAGGUAGUGACAAGAAAUAACAAUACAGGACUUUUUGGUUUUGUAAUUGGAAUGAGUUAAGUAUAAACCCCUUUACAAGUAUCAAUUGGAGGGCAAGUCUGGUGCCAGCAGCCGCGGUAAUUCCAGCUCCCUUAGCGUAUAUUAAAGUUGUUGCAGUUAAAAAGCUCGUAGUUGGAUUUCUGUUUAAAAAUUUUAUAAAAAAUUUUGAAUUUUUUUAUAACAUAAACAAAUUCCAUAUUAUAAUAUUUUUAAGUAUAUGAAAAUUUACUUUCAAAAAUUUAGAGUGCAUAAACAAGGCUUUUCCCUUGAAUACUCCAGCAUGGAAUAAUAUUAAAGAUUUUUAUCUUUCUUAUUGGUUCUAAGAUAAGAAUAAUGAUUAAUAGGGACAGUGGGGGGGAUUUGUAUUUAACAGUCAGAGGUGA